UGAGGAAUUUUGCGCAAUGGGAGCAAUCCUGACGCAGCAACGCCGCGUGGGUGAUGAAGGCCUUCGGGUCGUAAAGCCCUGUCAGGUGGGAAGAAUGUCCCGGAACUGAACAGGUUUCGGGAGUGACGGUACCACCAGAGGAAGCACCGGCUAACUCCGUGCCAGCAGCCGCGGUAAUACGGAGGGUGCAAGCGUUAUUCGGAAUUACUGGGCGUAAAGCGCGUGUAGGCGGUCCCGCAAGUCUGAUGUGAAAGCCCCGGGCUUAACCCGGGAAGUGCAUUGGAAACUGUGGGACUUGAGUACUGGAGAGGAUGGGUGAAUUCCCGGUGUAGAGGUGAAAUCCGUAGAGAUCGGGAGGAAUAUCAGUGGCGAAGGCGCCCAUCUGGACGGUAACUGACGCUGAGACGCGAAAGCGUGGGGAGCAAACA
Molecule: ribosomal RNA, 428 nt
Filed under: uncultured prokaryote
Description: bacterial SSU rRNA
Rfam family: Bacterial small subunit ribosomal RNA
Source: RNAcentral